RNAcentral lists this ribosomal RNA (497 nucleotides) under uncultured bacterium. RNAcentral describes it as "partial 16S ribosomal RNA". It matches the Rfam family "Bacterial small subunit ribosomal RNA", at positions 28 to 507 of the family's 1533-position model. The record is from RNAcentral.
GACGAACGCUGGCGGCGUGCCUAAUACAUGCAAGUUGAGCGCUGAAGGCUGGUACUUGUUGUAACUGGAUGAGCAGCGAACGGGGGAGUAACGCGUGAGGAAUCUGCCUUUUAGCGGGGGCCAACAUUUGGAAACGAAUGCUAAUACCUCAUAAAAACUUUAAACACAAGUUUUAAGUUUGAAAGAUGCAAUUGCAUCACUCAAAUGUGAUCCCGCGUUGUAUUAGCUAGUUGGUGAGGUAAAGGCUCACCAAGGCGAAGAUACAUAGCCGACCUGAGAGGGUGAUGGGCCAAAUUGGGAAUGGGGACUGGCACAAAGUCCUGCGGGAUGCAGCAGUAAGGAGUCGUGGGUAAUGGACGAAAGUCUGAACGAGCAAGGCCGCGUGAGUGAAGAAGGAUUUCGGAUCGUAAAACGCUGUUGGUAGAGAAGAGCGUUGGUGAGAGUGGAAAGCUCAUCAAGUGACGGUAACUACCCAGAAAGGGACGGCUAACUACGUG